GACGAACGCUGGCGGCGUGCUUAACACAUGCAAGUCGAACGGAAAGGCCCUGCUUUUGUGGGGUGCUCGAGUGGCGAACGGGUGAGUAACACGUGAGUAACCUGCCCUGGACUGUGGGAUAACUUCAGGAAACUGGGGCUAAUACCGGAUAGGAGCUCCUGCUGCAUGGUGGGGGUUGGAAAGUGUCGGCGGGUGGGGAUGGACGCGCGGCUUAUCAGCUUGUUGGUGGGGUAGUGGCUUACCAAGGCUUUGACGGAUAGCCGGCCUGAGAGGGUGACCGGGCACAUUGGGACUGAGGUACGGCCCAGACUGCUACGGGAGGCAGCAGUGGGGAAUAUUGCACAAUGGGCGGAAGCGUGAUGCAGCAACGCCGCGUGCGGGAUGACGGCCUUCGGGUUGUAAACAGCUUUCGCCUGUGACGAAGCGUGAGUGACGGUAAUGGGUAAAGAAGCACCGGCUAACUACGUG
Molecule: ribosomal RNA, 468 nt
Filed under: uncultured bacterium
Lineage: Bacteria
Description: partial 16S ribosomal RNA
Rfam family: Bacterial small subunit ribosomal RNA
Source: RNAcentral